GGAUGUGAGGGCGAUCUGGCUGGCUAGGUGGUCCUCAUCCUCCCUCACCGCUACACACGCAUCACUCCCCAAACAGCCAGCUACAUGUAAGGACAACCACCCUUAAUAAGGGAGGACCAUUCCUUAGUCAAGGAUAUAGAAGCUGCACUAUAUGAAAAUUGUUAGACUGCUUGAAUUUGUUUAAUUGUAUGAAUGUGUUACAUCUUCAAAAGAAU
This is an unclassified non-coding RNA of Cavia porcellus (domestic guinea pig), 215 nucleotides long. Its record names the gene 7SK. It matches the Rfam family "7SK RNA". From Rfam's summary of the family: 7SK was discovered as an abundant small nuclear RNA in the mid-70s but a possible function has only recently been suggested. The record is from Ensembl. Lineage: Eukaryota; Metazoa; Chordata; Mammalia; Rodentia; Caviidae.